ACUCAAAGGAAUAGACGGGGGCCCGCACAAGCAGCGGAGCGUGUGGUUUAAUUCGAGGCUACACGAAGAACCUUACCCGGGUUUGACAUGGGGGUGGUAAGAGCCGGAAACGGUGAUGACCCUUCGGGGAGCCUUCACAGGUGCUGCAUGGUUGUCGUCAGCUCGUGCCGUGAGGUGUUCGGUUAAGUCCGAAAACGAGCGCAACCCUCGGCAGUAGUUACAAGUGUCUACUGCAACUGCCCGUGAGAAACGGGAGGAAGGUGGGGAUGACGUCAAAUCAGCAUGGCCUUUAUAUCCGGGGCUACACACACGCUACAAUGGACGGUACAAUGGGGAGCGAGAGGGCGACCUGGAGCAAAUCCUGAAAGCCGUUCGUAGUUCGGAUUGCAGGCUGCAACUCGCCUGCAUGAAGUUGGAGUUGCUAGUAACCGCGCGUCAGCUAUAGCGCGGUGAAUACGUUCCCGGGCCUUGUACACACCGCCCGU
This 485-nucleotide ribosomal RNA is filed under the name uncultured bacterium. Its description in RNAcentral is "partial 16S ribosomal RNA". It matches the Rfam family "Bacterial small subunit ribosomal RNA", at positions 899 to 1397 of the family's 1533-position model. The record is from RNAcentral.